Long non-coding RNA from Anolis carolinensis (green anole), 2470 nucleotides. NCBI's taxonomy places the organism in Eukaryota, Metazoa, Chordata, Lepidosauria, Squamata, Anolidae. The record is from Ensembl.
AAUAUUUUUGCCAUUCAUCGGUCAAUAGUUUUUGUAUUUAGGUUAAGAUUGGCUGGAAGCCCGUUUGGACGAUGUGUGGGCCUUGACUCAGUUAGCCAUGCUGCUUUGAGGCUUGAAUGUGAUAAAAAACACAAAUGGAUUUGUAAGAGGAAGGAAGAGAAUGACCUUUUUGAUGUCUAUACUGAUCAAUUUUUGUCUGGACCAUUAGAACCAGUAUUUUAUACUACUCUGUCCAGUGCUCUACUCGACUGCUUAAAGCAACCAAACUGCACAGGGAUAGUGCAGGAUUACCAAUACUUCAGAAGAACAAAAGGCAUUAAUAUAAUUAUUUCUUAUGAUGAAACUGCAACUUCAUUUGUGAGACGAGAGUGUAAUUUCGGUUACUAUGGUUAUAACUGUGCCUCAUAUUGUAAGAAAUGUUAUGGAGGAUUCAGAUGUAAUUCAGUCACUGGUCAGUGCCCUGAAAGAAUGCACUGUAUAGGCCGAUUUAAAGGAGAACUGUGUGAAUUCGGUACUGUAUUAUUACUAAAAAUGUUAUUUAUAUAUUUAUUUCUCUUUAUGACAUAAAAUAAACAUAAAUUUAAUCUUUGGAAAGGGUCUGUUUAUUUUAUGGAAAAGCCAUUUGCUAAUUGUGGAGUUCUGUAGACUCUCUUGAAUUAGAUCAAUUUAAAGAAAAAGUUAAGCGUAUUUCUGCUGGACUUCACUGCUCAAGUAGAUCAAAGACCAUAUUAAAAGAUUUGCUUAAAUGGCUAUUUCUCCCUUUCACUCUUUCUUCAUUCAUCAACAGCCAUAGGUGCUGUAACUCUUUUCUACUCAGUCUUUUUGUUCAUUUGCAUUUCUUCAAGAGAAGAACUGCACAUCAUGAGACCCAAUUGCAGCCUUCUUUGCCUGCAGCUUUCAUUCAUAAGGUGAAUUCUGCUUUAAGAUUGCAUAGAGGGCCAUCCUUGCAGUCUUUCCCACAAAAGCCCUCAUAGUAAACGAUUGAUGGGCUGCGACCUGAAAAUUAGUAUCUACUUUCAUGAGGCACCACAAACUAGAUCCUUUUGUCUUUGCAAAGCAACUUUUAGCAGAUGGAGCCUCCAAUAUGUGAAUAAAAAAGAGAACGUGUGACACCAAAAUUCCUCACCCUGGUUUGGGGAGCUCUGAUAUAUUCUGUCUGAGGAUGCGUACUCUUCACAAACAGAAUAAUAUUGGUUCUUACCUGUAAGAUUUUUAUUUCUAGCAAUAAGGAUGAACAUCUUCCCUAUCCAACAUCUUUUGUAUAAUAAACAUCAGACUAUGUGAAGCUAUCCUCAUUUUGUCAUCUGUUUUCAUUUUUCCUAAAUUUAUUUCUGUCUACUAGUUGUUUUGCAGGGUUCAGUCUUGUCAAAGAUAGCAAUGUCUUUGCUUUGUGGAAGGAAUCUGGAAUUUUUGGAUUAUUGGCCUUGUUGAUUCUUGACUGUACCUUAGACUCCUGUAUUUUGGAUUCUGUCUUGGACCUUGGACUCUGCUAUUUUUGUACUGCUGGCUUUAUUGACUUUAGACUGGAAUUCUGGUUGGUGUGUGUGUGUAUGUAUGCUAAAACUAUAAGCCAGGGGUCCUCAAACAUUUUAAGCAGAGAGCCGGUUCACAAUCUCUCAGACUGUUGGGUGACUGUAUUAUAGUUUUUUUAAAAAAUGAAUAAAUUCCUAUGCGCACUGCACUCAUUUUAUUUGUAGUUUAAAAAAACAUGAAGGAAAAAUAAAAUAUUUAAAAUGAAGAACAAUUGUAACCAACAUAAACUUACCAGUAUUUCAGUGGGAAAGUGGCCCUGCUUUUGGCAGAUGAGAUAGUCGUGCUAAUUAGGAUUGUGUGCCUUCAAGUUCUUUAAGAUACAGGGCGACCCUAAGUCUAAAGUUUAGGGUGGAUAAAUGACCUUGGAGGUCCACAUCCGGCUUGUGGGCCUUCGAGGACUCUUAACACUUGACCUGUCUGUUAAAAUAUUGGGACCUUGUUUGAGUUUUCUGUUGUUUGUUUAACUAGGACAUGGCAAAACACAGCACAACUCAUCAGUGACCACCAACAGGCACAAAAUUACUGGUGAUCAUUACUCAUUAUAUGCAGCGACACUGGCUGGAGCUCAAAAACAAUCAAAUAAGGGGAGAGGAGGGAGCGAUUCCUCCUUCCCACUUCUCCUCUUCCACAUUGCUCUGGCACUCCAGCUGGUAUCAGUGAAUGCGACAAGCAAUGACAACCAGCAAUUUUGUGAUUGUUGUUAAGCUGAGGACAAAAGUGGAAAGGUAAGGGUAGUGAUUCAACAGUUCCCAACAGGGUUCAGUGUUGCUGAGUCCUGUGGACUUCAUCCAGUGACUAGGCCAAUUCAGUGCUGCACAGUACUCCUGCAGGCAGCUCUGAUUCAAAGUAACCAACUCUAGAUCAGCUCUGGGGUAUGUGACCCAUGUAGAUGGGCCCUAAGUUUAAGGUCUUACUGAACAGUUGUAUUCCACAAGCC